This 253-nucleotide ribosomal RNA is filed under the name Phocaeicola coprocola DSM 17136. RNAcentral's name for it is "partial 16S ribosomal RNA". It matches the Rfam family "Bacterial small subunit ribosomal RNA", at positions 524 to 776 of the family's 1533-position model. Lineage: Bacteria; Pseudomonadati; Bacteroidota; Bacteroidia; Bacteroidales; Bacteroidaceae. The record is from RNAcentral.
UACGGAGGAUGCGAGCGUUAUCCGGAUUUAUUGGGUUUAAAGGGAGCGCAGACGGGAGAUUAAGUCAGUUGUGAAAGUUUGCGGCUCAACCGUAAAAUUGCAGUUGAUACUGGUUUCCUUGAGUGCAGUUGAGGCAGGCGGAAUUCGUGGUGUAGCGGUGAAAUGCUUAGAUAUCACGAAGAACCCCGAUUGCGAAGGCAGCUUGCUAGACUGUAACUGACGUUCAUGCUCGAAAGUGUGGGUAUCAAACAGG